RNAcentral lists this ribosomal RNA (586 nucleotides) under uncultured bacterium. Its description in RNAcentral is "bacterial SSU rRNA". It matches the Rfam family "Bacterial small subunit ribosomal RNA", at positions 338 to 924 of the family's 1533-position model. The record is from RNAcentral.
CCUACGGGAGGCAGCAGUGAGGAAUAUUGGUCAAUGGGCGGAAGCCUGAACCAGCCAUUCCGCGUGAAGGAAGAAGGCCCUACGGGUUGUAAACUUCUUUUCUGUAAGAAGAAAAAACUUAACGAGUUGAGGUAUGACGGUAUUACAGGAAUAAGCAUCGGCUAACUCCGUGCCAGCAGCCGCGGUAAUACGGAGGAUGCAAGCGUUAUCCGGAUUUAUUGGGUUUAAAGGGUGCGCAGGUUGUUUGGUAAGUCAGUGGUGAAAGUCUGUCGCUUAACGUCAGGAUUGCCAUUGAUACUGUUAAACUUGAGUAUGGGUGAGGUAUUCGGAAUGUGUAGUGUAGCGGUGAAAUGCAUAGAUAUUACACAGAACGCCGAUUGCGGAGGCAGGAUACUAGGCCAUUACUGACGCUGAGGCACGAAAGCGUGGGGAUCAAACAGGAUUAGAUACCCUGGUAGUCCACGCUGUAAACGAUGAUCACUCGCUGUUGGCGAUACACAGUCAGCGGCUAAGCGAAAGCAUUAAGUGAUCCACCUGGGGAGUACGGCGGCAACGUUGAAACUCAAAUGAAUUGACGGGAAGUUCC